This 256-nucleotide ribosomal RNA is filed under the name uncultured bacterium. RNAcentral's name for it is "partial 16S ribosomal RNA". It matches the Rfam family "Bacterial small subunit ribosomal RNA", at positions 15 to 263 of the family's 1533-position model. The record is from RNAcentral.
GAUCCUGGCUCAGGACGAACGCUGGCGGCGUGCCUAACACAUGCAAGUCGAGCGGAGACAGGGAGUAGCUUGCUAUGAGCUGUUUUAGCGGCGGACGGGUGAGUAACGCGUGAGCAACCUUUCCCAGACAGGGGGAAUAACACACCGAAAGGUGUACUAAUACCGCAUAAGACCACGGGAUCACAUGGUUCUGAGGUAAAAGAUUUAUCGGUUUGGGGUGGGCUCGCGUCCGAUUAGGUAGUUGGUGAGGUAACGG